RNAcentral lists this long non-coding RNA (1189 nucleotides) under Mus caroli (Ryukyu mouse). RNAcentral describes it as "predicted gene 15245 (MGP_CAROLIEiJ_G0006899.1)". Lineage: Eukaryota; Metazoa; Chordata; Mammalia; Rodentia; Muridae. The record is from RNAcentral.
GUUUCUGUUGUUGAAGUCCAGCUUUAAUCCAUGGUGGUCUGAAAAGAUACAAGGCAUACUUUCCAUUUUCUUGUAUCUGUUGAGGCUUGCUUUGUAACUGACUAUAUGGUCAAUCUUGGAGAAGGAUCUAUGAUUGUAUAAACAUUUCUCAUGUAAAAGGAGACAAAGUUUCAGAAGUCCUGCCAUGUUCUGUGGACAUGUUGACGAGUACUCUAUACUUGAACAUUAAGCAUUUUAAUGUUUGCAAAGUCAGGAGUAAUGCAAACAUUUUUGUAAAGCAAAAUAUAACGUUUACAUGCUGGAUUGGUGGUUUCCUGAAGAAGGGGUGGUCUCCUGAUGGUCUUAAGAAUUCUAUGAAUGUCAAGAAUGUGGAAGACUCUGAUUUGAAGGCAAUUUCACCAGAACUCCAUUUCUCUUUGUGACUGAAAUGGACAUAUGCUUAGCAGUAGAGCUUCAUCUGGUACAGAUGAACCAGAAUCAGCAAGACAGUUUUUGAAGCUCAGUUUCCUGACUACCAACCUACAGUUUCUGAGUUCUGGUUUCCCAAGAGAAGACCGCCGAACACAAGGUCAGAAGAUCAGAAGACUGGGCUGUGAGAAUUUUCUUGUUGGCAUCCAUACAAAUAACACCUCUAAUGCUCUUUAUCUUCAUUUUGUCACUGAAAAUAAAAAGAUCAAGAUUGUUCCACAUCAAUAAACUUGGAUUCCCUCCUUUCCACUGUCAAAAUCAGGAUCACAUUCUUUGAUAGUAACACAAUUAUAAUCUGUCAGAAUUUAUUAAAUAGGUAUUGCUUAUGGCUCCAUUUCUUUGAUUUAUUGACUACAAUUAUCAUGAAAAUCAAUUUCUACCUAUUAAAAACAUGCAUAUCUUUGAAGAAAUGUAUUUAUAGCUGUAUACCACUUUUAUUAUAGAGAAAUAUGUAGAGAUAAGAAGUCAAGAUUCAGAUCUUGAGCUUUUAAAACAGGAGAUGGUUAAUUUUUAUAAACUUAUAGUAUACAAAAUCCAAAAAAAUCACAACUGAGACUCACUGAUUUCCAUCUGCAUUUUGAAAUCAUUCACAGCUUCUCUUAAUAGAGACUGAGAUCCUUUUGCAUAAGUGGAGACAGAAUACUAAACAACAUAGAAAUGCUUCCUGACCCUGUGCUGUUCAAAGGCUAGUGGGACAAAUAAACCUUGAAAUGAAAACUCC